Molecule: ribosomal RNA, 238 nt
Filed under: uncultured bacterium
Lineage: Bacteria
Description: partial 16S ribosomal RNA
Rfam family: Archaeal small subunit ribosomal RNA
Source: RNAcentral
UACCAGCACCCCGAGUGGUCGGGACGUUUAUUGGGCCUAAAGCAUCCGUAGCCGGUUCUACAAGUCUUCCGUUAAAUCCAGCUGCUUAACAGAUGGGCUGCGGAAGAUACUAUGGAGCUAGGAGGCGGGAGAGGCAAGCGGUACUCGAUGGGUAGGGGUAAAAAUCCGUUGAUCCAUUGAAGACCACCAGUGGCGAAGGCGGCUUGCCAGAACGCGCUCGACGGGUGAGGGAUGAAAG